UACCCAUGCCGAACACAGUAGUUAAGCCCUAGAACGCCUGAAGUAGUUGGGGGUUGCCCCCUGUGAGAUACGGAAGUUGCUUAGCUUAGAUCCGCCAUAGCUCAGUUGGUAGUAGC
RNAcentral lists this ribosomal RNA (116 nucleotides) under Streptococcus equi subsp. zooepidemicus MGCS10565. The record is from RNAcentral. Lineage: Bacteria; Bacillati; Bacillota; Bacilli; Lactobacillales; Streptococcaceae.